AGGUUAUAAUACAGGGAUGAAUUAUAAUUCUGGAUAUGGAACUGGAAUGUAUGGUUCUUCUUAUGGUGGUGGCUAUGGAAGCACAUAUGGAAGUGGUUUGUAUGGAAACAGUAUGUAUAGAGGAGGUUAUGGUGGACUUGCAGGUGGUGGCAUGUACGGUGGUGGAAUGUAUAAUAGUGGGUUUGGUGGCUCAAUGGGGGGUUAUGGCAUGGGCAUGGGCGGCAUGGGUGGCAUGGGUGGCAUGGGCAUGGGCGGCUUUGGGGACCAAGAUCCAAAUAAUCCCUAUGGUGCUCCAUCUUCUCCACCAGGCUUCUGGGUUUCCUUCAUGCACGUGGUAAGCUCUAACAGUACCAAAUAAUCUAUUUCUGUUCUAUAAGUUUGCCCUAAAAUGAAUUUGAUUUGCAUAAGUCUCUCAUUUGACCUGCACUUCAAGUAAAAACUAUAUUGGCCUUAUUGCUGAAUUUUUGUUUUUGGAUUGGAUAACAGACUAAAAUUAGGUGCAUGUGAAUGGGUAACGGAGCAAGGCCUCCAAAAUAAAGGGGUGGAAUCACAUAGGGAAGGAUAGAAAUUUAACAAGGCUUGUGAAGUUUCAGUGGCUUCUUGCAACUCCUGGGUUUCUGUAAUGAGAUACUUUUAGCUAGACCCCACUUUAUCCCAAAAAGAAACUUUUAGUUAGAUUCCUCAAUGUUUUUGAUAAUAAGAUCCAG
This 707-nucleotide long non-coding RNA is filed under the name Nicotiana tabacum (common tobacco). Its description in RNAcentral is "long non-coding RNA (NTAB_LNC005351)". Lineage: Eukaryota; Viridiplantae; Streptophyta; Magnoliopsida; Solanales; Solanaceae. The record is from RNAcentral.